Molecule: ribosomal RNA, 1530 nt
Filed under: Escherichia coli
Lineage: Bacteria; Pseudomonadati; Pseudomonadota; Gammaproteobacteria; Enterobacterales; Enterobacteriaceae
Description: bacterial SSU rRNA
Rfam family: Bacterial small subunit ribosomal RNA
Source: RNAcentral
AGAGUUUGAUCAUGGCUCAGAUUGAACGCUGGCGGCAGGCCUAACACAUGCAAGUCGAACGGUAACAGGAAGAAGCUUGCUUCUUCGCUGACGAGUGGCGGACGGGUGAGUAAUGUCUGGGAAACUGCCUGAUGGAGGGGGAUAACUACUGGAAACGGUAGCUAAUACCGCAUAAUGUCGCAAGACCAAAGAGGGGGACCUUCGGGCCUCUUGCCAUCGGAUGUGCCCAGAUGGGAUUAGCUUGUUGGUGGGGUAACGGCUCACCAAGGCGACGAUCCCUAGCUGGUCUGAGAGGAUGACCAGCCACACUGGAACUGAGACACGGUCCAGACUCCUACGGGAGGCAGCAGUGGGGAAUAUUGCACAAUGGGCGCAAGCCUGAUGCAGCCAUGCCGCGUGUAUGAAGAAGGCCUUCGGGUUGUAAAGUACUUUCAGCGGGGAGGAAGGGAGUAAAGUUAAUACCUUUGCUCAUUGACGUUACCCGCAGAAGAAGCACCGGCUAACUCCGUGCCAGCAGCCGCGGUAAUACGGAGGGUGCAAGCGUUAAUCGGAAUUACUGGGCGUAAAGCGCACGCAGGCGGUUUGUUAAGUCAGAUGUGAAAUCCCCGGGCUCAACCUGGGAACUGCAUCUGAUACUGGCAAGCUUGAGUCUCGUAGAGGGGGGUAGAAUUCCAGGUGUAGCGGUGAAAUGCGUAGAGAUCUGGAGGAAUACCGGUGGCGAAGGCGGCCCCCUGGACGAAGACUGACGCUCAGGUGCGAAAGCGUGGGGAGCAAACAGGAUUAGAUACCCUGGUAGUCCACGCCGUAAACGAUGUCGACUUGGAGGUUGUGCCCUUGAGGCGUGGCUUCCGGAGCUAACGCGUUAAGUCGACCGCCUGGGGAGUACGGCCGCAAGGUUAAAACUCAAAUGAAUUGACGGGGGCCCGCACAAGCGGUGGAGCAUGUGGUUUAAUUCGAUGCAACGCGAAGAACCUUACCUGGUCUUGACAUCCACGGAAGUUUUCAGAGAUGAGAAUGUGCCUUCGGGAACCGUGAGACAGGUGCUGCAUGGCUGUCGUCAGCUCGUGUUGUGAAAUGUUGGGUUAAGUCCCGCAACGAGCGCAACCCUUAUCCUUUGUUGCCAGCGGUCCGGCCGGGAACUCAAAGGAGACUGCCAGUGAUAAACUGGAGGAAGGUGGGGAUGACGUCAAGUCAUCAUGGCCCUUACGACCAGGGCUACACACGUGCUACAAUGGCGCAUACAAAGAGAAGCGACCUCGCGAGAGCAAGCGGACCUCAUAAAGUGCGUCGUAGUCCGGAUUGGAGUCUGCAACUCGACUCCAUGAAGUCGGAAUCGCUAGUAAUCGUGGAUCAGAAUGCCACGGUGAAUACGUUCCCGGGCCUUGUACACACCGCCCGUCACACCAUGGGAGUGGGUUGCAAAAGAAGUAGGUAGCUUAACCUUCGGGAGGGCGCUUACCACUUUGUGAUUCAUGACUGGGGUGAAGUCGUAACAAGGUAACCGUAGGGGAACCUGCGGUUGGAUCACCU